This is a long non-coding RNA of Lycium ferocissimum, 1334 nucleotides long. RefSeq lists it as uncharacterized. The transcript is spliced from 3 exons. NCBI's taxonomy places the organism in Eukaryota, Viridiplantae, Streptophyta, Magnoliopsida, Solanales, Solanaceae. The record is from RefSeq and is a predicted model, not a curated record.
UGGGUUCCGCUGGGAUAGAGCUUCAAUUCUUUUGGUCGAUGCUGCAAAAUGGUAAUGGCGCCUGGGAUAAAGCCAUUUAUGCUAAAUAUAUCCUCACUGAAUCAUAUUUUUACAGAAUUUUGUAGUACUAAUGUAUUUGAAAUGAUAUACAAGUCGGUCCGGUGGUUUUUGUUUAAGCAUCAUAGAUUUGAAAGCAUGCUACUCAUAUCAGGUUGCUAAUAUACUUGGACAAUAUCCUGAUCUUAUGGAGGGCUUCAAUGACUUUAUAGAUCGUUAUGAACGAGUUGUUGUACUUCUUGCAGAUGAGAGUAAGGAAGAACGGAAUGAGAAGAAGUGUAAAACUGAGGCUCCAACAAAAGAAGCUAUCAGCUUUCUGAAGAAAGUAAAGGUUAUUCUCUUGCCUUCUUAUUUCAUGAUAAACUUCUACACUUUUUUAUUUUUCUUUUGCUAGUUACUAUCUAAAUGCAUUGCAGGUAUAUCUCAUAAGCGUCUGUCUUAUAAAGUUAAUAUAAAGACUAAAAACAAGAAAAUGUGUAUUUCAAAAUGUUACUCCUUUCGAAUGUGAACUUAGAGUAUUGGAAUAAAAACUUGGAUACUUUAAAAAGAGAUUCAUUGCUGCUAUUAUGUCAUCAUACGAGUAAAUAGUGAAGUUCUUAUUAAUUAAAAGCUUACCGGAUCCCUAACGUAACUGCAAGGGAAUACUGAGGUUCUUUAAUUAAUUGAAAAUGGUUAAAUAAUGGGCAUGUUGUUGGCUUAUUAAUGAAUAAAAGGAAAUUAUGAACUUUUUAAGCAAUAUGUAAUUAUUGCGAUUUUAUCCAACAUGAAAUGCACUUAUGAAGAACAAAAAUUUGAUCCACAUUUCUAUUGGAGUCUCGUGCAUUUAUAAUAGUAUAGAUAUAGAUAGAUAAACCCUAAGUAGUAAUUUAAUUGUUGGGGUUAUCACUUCGUGCAGGAACAUUUCCAAAACGAUGAUCAUGCUUACCAAUCCUUCCUAGAUAUCAUAAAGACGUACAAGGAGCCCAGGAGCAUCUAUGAAGUCUACCAUGAGGUUGCCAAACUUCUCAAUGACCAUCCAGAUUUGCUUUCUGAGUUCACUAAAUUCUUGCCAGAUCCUUAAGCUAUUUCCAUGCUUAGGCAAUAUCUUGAUCAGUAAACCAUCCUCUUUAGUUCCUUAUAAUGCUAUUGCCAUGAUUAAAUCUUGCUAAUUAUGAGUUGUACUUUAUAUUCUUAAAGAACUCUCAGGGAGAUUGGUUGGUUGCUAUGGAAUUCCUUGUCCCGUUUUUUAUGAAUAGAGAUUUUGUAUUAUUAGCGUCAGUUAUUGCUAAAUGGUUUAU